This 254-nucleotide ribosomal RNA is filed under the name uncultured bacterium. RNAcentral describes it as "partial 16S ribosomal RNA". It matches the Rfam family "Bacterial small subunit ribosomal RNA", at positions 524 to 776 of the family's 1533-position model. The record is from RNAcentral.
UACGGGGGGAGCAAGCGUUGUUCGGAUUUACUGGGCGUAAAGGGCGCGUAGGCGGCCUCCGCAAGUCAGUUGUGAAAUCUCCGAGCUUAACUCGGAAAGGUCAACUGAUACUGCGGGGCUAGAGUGCGGAAGGGGCAACUGGAAUUCUUGGUGUAGCGGUGAAAUGCGUAGAUAUCAGGAGGAACACCGGUGGCGAAGGCGGGUCUCUGGGCCGAUACUGACGCUGAGGAGCGAAAGCGUGGGGAGCGAACAGG